This 745-nucleotide long non-coding RNA is filed under the name Daucus carota (carrot). RNAcentral's name for it is "long non-coding RNA (DCAR_LNC004667)". Lineage: Eukaryota; Viridiplantae; Streptophyta; Magnoliopsida; Apiales; Apiaceae. The record is from RNAcentral.
UCUCUCUCUCUCUCUCUCCCUCUCUCUAUUAUUAUCUCUCUCUCUCCCCCUCUCCCUAUUAUUCUCUCUCUCUCUCUCUCCCCCUAUCUCUCCCUCUCAGUUAACAAUUUUACAAAAUUUAGACUUUGAGUUAAGGUGCAUAACAUGAUAUUAGCAUAGGUGGUCUGGUUGUGAUUAAAAGCUGAGCAUGAAUGUACAUGUACUAUAGUAGAUUGUGUGCAGCACGACAAGUCUCCGCCAAUAUUUGCGGAUGAUGGUCCCUGUUACCCACCUUGAAUUUAUAGAGCAUUUAUCCACCAAAAGUCUUUGUAUCAGGUUACAAAUGCAUGCACAGUCGUACACGCGAUUCCAACAGCAAAUAUAUAUAACAUUUACCCUCUCUUUAACUCUCUCCAUUUAGUGAAAGAGACUCUGAUUUCAUCUCUGUUCCUCCCCUGUCCCAAACAUAUUUAUCGCUACUAUAUUUCAAAACCCGUAACAUUAAAAGUUUGGUAACGAACCAUCACUAUUAAGUAACCAGUGCAUCUAAAAUCUUAAAGGAUCACGUAAAUGUCUGACAGAUCUAUACUCUUCGACACUCUCUUCAACACUCUCAUCAAAUUAGACCGAGUUCUGAUACCAUGUUAAGUAAGCAAUGGCCUGCAUCUUAUAAGAUUACGGUUAAGUAACCAGUGCAUCUAAAAUCUUCAGGUAUUAGAGAAAUGUCUGACAGAUCUAUACUCUUCGACACUCUCUUCAACACUCC